RNAcentral lists this ribosomal RNA (370 nucleotides) under uncultured organism. RNAcentral describes it as "bacterial SSU rRNA". It matches the Rfam family "Bacterial small subunit ribosomal RNA", at positions 526 to 896 of the family's 1533-position model. The record is from RNAcentral.
CGAAGGGGGCUAGCGUUGCUCGGAAUUACUGGGCGUAAAGGGCGCGUAGGCGGACAUUUAAGUCAGAGGUGAAAGCCCAGGGCUCAACCUUGGAAUUGCCUUUGAUACUGGAUGUCUUGAGUUCGGGAGAGGUGAGUGGAAUGCCGAGUGUAGAGGUGAAAUUCGUAGAUAUUCGGCGGAACACCAGUGGCGAAGGCGACUCACUGGCCCGAUACUGACGCUGAGGCGCGAAAGCGUGGGGAGCAAACAGGAUUAGAUACCCUGGUAGUCCACGCUGUAAACGAUGAGUGCUAGUUGUCGGCAUGCAUGCAUGUCGGUGACGCAGCUAACGCAUUAAGCACUCCGCCUGGGGAGUACGGUCGCAAGAUUA